Molecule: ribosomal RNA, 389 nt
Filed under: uncultured bacterium
Lineage: Bacteria
Description: bacterial SSU rRNA
Rfam family: Bacterial small subunit ribosomal RNA
Source: RNAcentral
GAUCAACGCUGGCGGCAUGCCUUACACAUGCAAGUCGAACGGUAACAGGUUAAGCUGACGAGUGGCGAACGGGUGAGUAAUAUAUCGGAACGUGCCCAGUAAUGGGGGAUAGCCCGGCGAAAGCCGGAUUAAUACCGCAUACGACCUACGGGUGAAAGCAGGGGAUCGCAAGACCUUGCGUUAUUGGAGCGGCCGAUAUCAGAUUAGCUUGUUGGUGGGGUAAAAGCCCACCAAGGCGACGAUCUGUAGCUGGUCUGAGAGGACGACCAGCCACACUGGGACUGAGACACGGCCCAGACUCCUACGGGAGGCAGCAGUGGGGAAUUUUGGACAAUGGACGCAAGUCUGAUCCAGCCAUGCCGCGUGCGGGAAGAAGGCCUGGUGUAACG